RNAcentral lists this long non-coding RNA (284 nucleotides) under Elaeis guineensis (African oil palm). Its description in RNAcentral is "long non-coding RNA (EGUI_LNC015116)". Lineage: Eukaryota; Viridiplantae; Streptophyta; Magnoliopsida; Arecales; Arecaceae. The record is from RNAcentral.
AUCAUAAUUUACUAUUGUCGUCGAGAUGAUGACAACAUUAUCAUGGGAAGUUUGUAUUCUCCGAACAUCAUCUUUGGAAAAAGAGAUUACACUAUUAAGUCAUUAUUUUUUUGCUGACUCUUCUUCGGAAGUUGCCCCCCAAUCCUUCGAUCGCCCAAAAAUUAUGUUGAUCACUCCCAUCGUUGGCUGAUUAUUGAUCAUCUCCUCAGCUUGUGACUGAGGCUGUUGGUUGGUGGGAGGUUGAGUCGAGCAAUCUCGUUGGAAUUUUUUGAGGUAGCCAUGUC